RNAcentral lists this ribosomal RNA (492 nucleotides) under uncultured bacterium. RNAcentral's name for it is "partial 16S ribosomal RNA". It matches the Rfam family "Bacterial small subunit ribosomal RNA", at positions 29 to 507 of the family's 1533-position model. The record is from RNAcentral.
AGUGAACGCUGGCGGUAGGCCUAACACAUGCAAGUCGAACGACAGCACAUUAAGAUCUUGCUUUUACGGGUGGCGAGUGGCUGACUGGUACGUGAUUCAUCUGACUCUACUUUUUCGUUGGGUUUAACGUAGUGAAACUUACGCUAAUACCGCAUUCGACCUACGGGUGAAAGCAUGGGAUCUUCCGACCUUGCGCGAUUGACUGAGCCGAUGUCGGCUUAGCUAGUUGGCGGGGUCAAGGCCCACCAAGGCGACGAUCCGUAGCUGGUCUGAGAGGAUGAUCAGCCACACUGGAACUGAGACAGGGUCAAGACUCCUACGGGAGGCAGCAGUGGGGAAUAUUGGACAAUGGGCGCAAGCCUGAUCCAGCCAUACCGCGUGGGUGAAGAAGGCCUUCGGGUUGUAAAGCCCUUUUGUUGGGAAAGAAAAGCAGCAGGUUAAUACCCAGCUGUUCUGACGGUACCCAAAGAAUAAGCACCGGCUAACUUCGUG